Molecule: ribosomal RNA, 1371 nt
Filed under: uncultured bacterium
Lineage: Bacteria
Description: bacterial SSU rRNA
Rfam family: Bacterial small subunit ribosomal RNA
Source: RNAcentral
GAUGAACGCUGGCGGCGUGCCUAAUACAUGCAAGUCGAGCGAACGGACGAGAAGCUUGCUUUUCUGAUGUUAGCGGCGGACGGGUGAGUAACACGUGGAUAACCUACCUAUAAGACUGGGAUAACUUCGGGAAACCGGAGCUAAUACCGGAUAAUAUUUUGAACCGCAUGGUUCAAAAGUGAAAGACGGUCUUGCUGUCACUUAUAGAUGGAUCCGCGCUGCAUUAGCUAGUUGGUAAGGUAACGGCUUACCAAGGCAACGAUGCAUAGCCGACCUGAGAGGGUGAUCGGCCACACUGGAACUGAGACACGGUCCAGACUCCUACGGGAGGCAGCAGUAGGGAAUCUUCCGCAAUGGGCGAAAGCCUGACGGAGCAACGCCGCGUGAGUGAUGAAGGUCUUCGGAUCGUAAAACUCUGUUAUUAGGGAAGAACAUAUGUGUAAGUAACUGUGCACAUCUUGACGGUACCUAAUCAGAAAGCCACGGCUAACUACGUGCCAGCAGCCGCGGUAAUACGUAGGUGGCAAGCGUUAUCCGGAAUUAUUGGGCGUAAAGCGCGCGUAGCGGUUUUUUAAGUCUGAUGUGAAAGCCCACGGCUCAACCGUGGAGGGUCAUUGGAAACUGGAAAACUUGAGUGCAGAAGAGGAAAGUGGAAUUCCAUGUGUAGCGGUGAAAUGCGCAGAGAUGUGGAGGAACACCAGUGGCGAAGGCGACUUUCUGGUCUGUAACUGACGCUGAUGUGCGAAAGCGUGGGGAUCAAACAGGAUUAGAUACCCUGGUAGUCCACGCCGUAAACGAUGAGUGCUAAGUGUUAGGGGGUUUCCGCCCCUUAGUGCUGCAGCUAACGCAUUAAGCACUCCGCCUGGGGAGUACGACCGCAAGGUUGAAACUCAAAGGAAUUGACGGGGGCCCGCACAAGCGGUGGAGCAUGUGGUUUAAUUCGAAGCAACGCGAAGAACCUUACCAAAUCUUGACAUCCUUUGACAACUCUAGAGAUAGAGCCUUCCCCUUCGGGGGACAAAGUGACAGGUGGUGCAUGGUUGUCGUCAGCUCGUGUCGUGAGAUGUUGGGUUAAGUCCCGCAACGAGCGCAACCCUUAAGCUUAGUUGCCAUCAUUAAGUUGGGCACUCUAAGUUGACUGCCGGUGACAAACCGGAGGAAGGUGGGGAUGACGUCAAAUCAUCAUGCCCCUUAUGAUUUGGGCUACACACGUGCUACAAUGGACAAUACAAAGGGCAGCGAAACCGCGAGGUCAAGCAAAUCCCAUAAAGUUGUUCUCAGUUCGGAUUGUAGUCUGCAACUCGACUACAUGAAGCUGGAAUCGCUAGUAAUCGUAGAUCAGCAUGCUACGGUGAAUACGUUCCCGGGUCU